Molecule: long non-coding RNA, 446 nt
Organism: Mya arenaria
Lineage: Eukaryota; Metazoa; Mollusca; Bivalvia; Myida; Myidae
Exons: 5
Source: RefSeq, a predicted model, not a curated record
CACAUGCAAUUAAAUUUUAUAGUUUCUUUAUGGUAAAUAUAUCAGUUUUGUGACCCAUUGUAUAGGGUAUAUAAGGCAACACACACCGCCUUAUCCCAAACUCUGUUCUUAAGGCUUACAUUUUGAUAUUCUGCAUUCCAAAGGUCAAGAUGAGGGCAACAGUGCUUUUUACACUGCUUCUGGUCUUCAGCCUCGCUAUGACGACCACUUUCGUCGUGGAGGCCGUUGAGAAAAAUGGGGACAGCAAGAGCGAUGGCGAUAAAGAUCGGAAGUCUGACGAGAGCAAAGAUUCACAGAAAGCGAAUGAAAAGACGUUUGGAAUAAGCAGGUUUUGAUACAUGGGGUGAAAGUAAAGUUUUGGACCCUUUACGGCUUGGACAUCGAAACGAAAUUGACUUUUUAGCGUAUUGUUAUGUAGAUAUUCAUAUUAAAGCAUUCACAAAACA